UAAUACGUAGGGCGCAAGCGUUGUCCGGAAUUAUUGGGCGUAAAGAGCUCGUAGGCGGUUUGCCGCGUCUGCCGUGAAAGCCCGGGGCUCAACCCCGGGUCUGCGGUGGGUACGGGCAGACUGGAGUGCAGUAGGGGAGACCGGAAUUCCUGGUGUAGCGGUGAAAUGCGCAGAUAUCAGGAGGAACACCGAUGGCGUAGGCAGGUCUCUGGGCUGUAACUGACGCUGAGGAGCGAAAGCAUGGGGAGCGAACAG
RNAcentral lists this ribosomal RNA (255 nucleotides) under uncultured prokaryote. RNAcentral describes it as "partial 16S ribosomal RNA". It matches the Rfam family "Bacterial small subunit ribosomal RNA", at positions 521 to 775 of the family's 1533-position model. The record is from RNAcentral.